RNAcentral lists this ribosomal RNA (876 nucleotides) under uncultured bacterium. Its description in RNAcentral is "bacterial SSU rRNA". It matches the Rfam family "Bacterial small subunit ribosomal RNA", at positions 649 to 1528 of the family's 1533-position model. The record is from RNAcentral.
AGGUAGGGGUCAGCGGAACGUUCGGUGGAGCGGUGAAAUGCGUAGAUAUCGAACGGAACGCCAAUGGUGAAGACAGCUGACUGGGCCUUUCCUGACGCUCAGGCACGAAAGCGUGGGGAGCAAACAGGAUUAGAUACCCUGGUAGUCCACGCCGUAAACGAUGCGCACUGGAUUGGUGCGGCUCUGACGCCGUGCUGGUCGUAGAGAAAUUGUUAAGUGCGCCGCCUGGGGAGUACGGUCGCAAGGCUAAAACUCAAAGGAAUUGACGGGGGCUCACACAAGCGGUGGAGCAUGUUGCUUAAUUCGAAGCAACGCGAAGAACCUUACCUGGGCUUGACAUGUAUGGAUUAGCUCUUGGAAACUUGAGUGACGCCUUCGGGUGGAACAUACACAGGUGCUGCAUGGCUGUCGUCAGCUCGUGCUGUGAAGUGUCGGGUUAAGUCCCUUAACGAGCGCAACCCUUGUCGCUAGUUGCCAGCGAGUCAUGUCGGGGACUCUAGCGAGACUGCCGGUGUCAAACCGGAGGAAGGUGGGGAUGACGUCAAGUCCUCAUGGCCCUUACGCCCAGGGUGGCAAACGUGCUACAAUGGCGUGUACAAUGCGAUGCAAGAUCGUGAGAUGGAGCAAAUCGCAAAAAGCACGCCCCAGUUCGGAUUGAAGUCUGAAACUCGACUUCAUGAAGCCGGAAUCGCUAGUAAUCGGAGAUCAGCCACGCUCCGGUGAAUACGUUCCUGAGCCUUGUACACACCGCCCGUCACGUCAUGGAAGCUGGUAGCGCCCGAAGUCACCCUGAUUCAGGGGUGCCCACGGCGAGAUUGGUAACUGGGACGAAGUCGUAACAAGGUAGCCGUAGGAGAACCUGCGGCUGGAUCACCU